GAAAUAUUUAAAAUUAAGCUUCUAACUUAAUAAAAAGCGUUUAUCGUUUAUAUUUCU
This 57-nucleotide transfer RNA is filed under the name Coccidophilus cariba. RNAcentral's name for it is "tRNA-Ser". Lineage: Eukaryota; Metazoa; Arthropoda; Insecta; Coleoptera; Coccinellidae. The record is from RNAcentral.